Molecule: ribosomal RNA, 528 nt
Filed under: Triticum aestivum (bread wheat)
Lineage: Eukaryota; Viridiplantae; Streptophyta; Magnoliopsida; Poales; Poaceae
Description: partial small subunit ribosomal RNA
Source: RNAcentral
AUGGCGGUAACCCAAGACAUCACUCAAACAGAACGUGAACCGCUGAUCAUACAAAACUUGGCCAUCGAAGAAGGGACAAAACAUGAAGGGAUCGAACACCUGUACAACAACGUCAUGACAGCGAAUAAGGACAAAGGGCACGAGAUCUUAAUAAAUACAGAGACGACAACAGUAACAGUCAGCCACAUGGCACAAAGCUUCGACAAUGGAAAGCCAGUGGGCACCGAAACCAUGGCAGUCAUGCUACAGAUGUUGAAAAAGCAACUCAGGGGCACAAAGAGAAAGAUUCUAUCAACAUACAACACCGCAUCAAUACGCAUGGCCAACCAUGAAGAUCCAUUGGAGUUCAAAAAUAUAGACGAAGCACGCGUCAGAGACAAGACAAUUCCUAAAAGGCUUAAAAGAUUCCUUGAUCUGGAAGAAGGAGAGCAACUACAAGAUUUCGACAUGGAACAAGUCCCAGAGUUGAGAAAAAAAUUCUCUAUCAAAUAUUCAGCCAAUACAGAGAUACGGCCGCACUGUCAUUAA